GCAGUAGAACGCUGAAGAGAGGAGCUUGCUCUUCUUGGAUGAGUUGCGAACGGGUGAGUAACGCGUAGGUAACCUGCCUUGUAGCGGGGGAUAACUAUUGGAAACGAUAGCUAAUACCGCAUAACAAUGGAUGACACAUGUCAUUUAUUUGAAAGGGGCAAUUGCUCCACUACAAGAUGGACCUGCGUUGUAUUAGCUAGUAGGUGAGGUAACGGCUCACCUAGGCGACGAUACAUAGCCGACCUGAGAGGGUGAUCGGCCACACUGGGACUGAGACACGGCCCAGACUCCUACGGGAGGCAGCAGUAGGGAAUCUUCGGCAAUGGGGGCAACCCUGACCGAGCAACGCCGCGUGAGUGAAGAAGGUUUUCGGAUCGUAAAGCUCUGUUGUAAGUCAAGAACGAGUGUGAGAGUGGAAAGUUCACACUGUGACGGUAGCUUACCAGAAAGGGACGGCUAACUACGUGCCAGCAGCCGCGGUAAUACGUAGGUCCCGAGCGUUGUCCGGAUUUAUUGGGCGUAAAGCGAGCGCAGGCGGUUUGAUAAGUCUGAAGUUAAAGGCUGUGGCUCAACCAUAGUUCGCUUUGGAAACUGUCAAACUUGAGUGCAGAAGGGGAGAGUGGAAUUCCAUGUGUAGCGGUGAAAUGCGUAGAUAUAUGGAGGAACACCGGUGGCGAAAGCGGCUCUCUGGUCUGUAACUGACGCUGAGGCUCGAAAGCGUGGGGAGCGAACAGGAUUAGAUACCCUGGUAGUCCACGCCGUAAACGAUGAGUGCUAGGUGUUGGAUCCUUUCCGGGAUUCAGUGCCGCAGCUAACGCAUUAAGCACUCCGCCUGGGGAGUACGACCGCAAGGUUGAAACUCAAAGGAAUUGACGGGGGCCCGCACAAGCGGUGGAGCAUGUGGUUUAAUUCGAAGCAACGCGAAGAACCUUACCAGGUCUUGACAUCCCGAUGCUAUUUCUAGAGAUAGAAAGUUACUUCGGUACAUCGGUGACAGGUGGUGCAUGGUUGUCGUCAGCUCGUGUCGUGAGAUGUUGGGUUAAGUCCCGCAACGAGCGCAACCCCUAUUGUUAGUUGCCAUCAUUCAGUUGGGCACUCUAGCGAGACUGCCGGUAAUAAACCGGAGGAAGGUGGGGAUGACGUCAAAUCAUCAUGCCCCUUAUGACCUGGGCUACACACGUGCUACAAUGGUUGGUACAACGAGUUGCGAGUCGGUGACGGCAAGCUAAUCUCUUAAAGCCAAUCUCAGUUCGGAUUGUAGGCUGCAACUCGCCUACAUGAAGUCGGAAUCGCUAGUAAUCGCGGAUCAGCACGCCGCGGUGAAUACGUUCCCGGGCCUUGUACACACCGCCCGUCACACCACGAGAGUUUGUAACACCCGAAGUCGGUGAGGUAACCUUUGGAGCCAGCCGCCUA
This 1416-nucleotide ribosomal RNA is filed under the name Streptococcus salivarius. RNAcentral describes it as "bacterial SSU rRNA". It matches the Rfam family "Bacterial small subunit ribosomal RNA". Lineage: Bacteria; Bacillati; Bacillota; Bacilli; Lactobacillales; Streptococcaceae. The record is from RNAcentral.